UCUUGGUCAUUUAGAGGAAGUAAAAGUCGUAACAAGGUUUCCGUAGGUGAACCUGCGGAAGGAUCAUUAUUGAAUAAACUUGGUUGGGUUGCUGCUGGCUCUUAGGAGCAUGUGCACGCCUACCGCCAUUUUUACCACCUGUGCACCUCUUGUAGACCUGGAUACCUCUCGAGGAAACUCGGUUUGAGGACUGCUGUGCGAAAGCCAGCUUUCCUUGCAUUUCCGGUCUAUGUUUUUAUAUACCCCAUCAGAAUGUUACAGAAUGUCAUUAAUGGGCUUUAUUGCCUUUAAAAUUAAUACAACUUUCAACAACGGAUCUCUUGGUUCUCGCAUCGAUGAAGAACGCAGCGAAAUGCGAUAAGUAAUGUGAAUUGCAGAAUUCAGUGAAUCAUCGAAUCUUUGAACGCACCUUGCGCUCCUUGGUAUUCCGAGGAGCAUGCCUGUUUGAGUGUCAUUAAAUUCUCAACCUUUCUAGCUUUUGCUAGUUAGGCUUGGAUGUGGGGGUUGCGGGCUUCUCAGAAGUCGGCUCUCCUUAAAUGCAUUAGCGGAACCUUUGUGGACCAGCUUUGGUGUGAUAAUUAUCUACGCCACGGCCGUGAAGCAGCUAUACAUGGGGUUCAGCUUCUAACUGUCCAUUGACUUGGACAAUUUCUGACAUUUUGACCUCAAAUCAGGUAGGACUACCCGCUGAACUUAAGCAUAUCAAUAAGCGGAGGAAA
This 719-nucleotide ribosomal RNA is filed under the name Lyophyllum cf. mycenoides LIP PAM02090606. Its description in RNAcentral is "eukaryotic LSU rRNA". The stretch from base 301 to 454 matches the Rfam family "5.8S ribosomal RNA". The record is from RNAcentral. Lineage: Eukaryota; Fungi; Basidiomycota; Agaricomycetes; Agaricales; Lyophyllaceae.